This 636-nucleotide ribosomal RNA is filed under the name uncultured bacterium. RNAcentral's name for it is "bacterial SSU rRNA". The stretch from base 1 to 537 matches the Rfam family "Bacterial small subunit ribosomal RNA", at positions 338 to 873 of the family's 1533-position model. The record is from RNAcentral.
CCUACGGGAGGCAGCAGUGAGGAAUAUUGGACAAUGGGCGCAAGCCUGAUCCAGCCAUGCCGCGUGCAGGAUGACGGUCCUAUGGAUUGUAAACUGCUUUUAUACGAGAAGAAACACUACUUCGUGAAGUAGCUUGACGGUAUCGUAAGAAUAAGGAUCGGCUAACUCCGUGCCAGCAGCCGCGGUAAUACGGAGGAUCCAAGCGUUAUCCGGAAUCAUUGGGUUUAAAGGGUCCGUAGGCGGUUUAAUAAGUCAGUGGUGAAAGCCCAUCGCUCAACGGUGGAACGGCCAUUGAUACUGUUAAACUUGAAUUAUUAGGAAGUAACUAGAAUAUGUAGUGUAGCGGUGAAAUGCUUAGAGAUUACAUGGAAUACCAAUUGCGAAGGCAGGUUACUACUAAUUGAUUGACGCUGAUGGACGAAAGCGUGGGUAGCGAACAGGAUUAGAUACCCUGGUAGUCCACGCCGUAAACGAUGGAUACUAGCUGUUGGGAGNAUACUCAGUGNGUAAGACGAAGUAGAGUAAGUAAGUACCACCGUACGGGAGGUAACGGUUACGUCGAAGAAAGUAGUUAAAGUUAAAAGGUAAAGUUAGUUAGGCGUGAGAGNGCGACGGACGACGACGAGGGAGGAGGAG